This 835-nucleotide ribosomal RNA is filed under the name uncultured bacterium. Its description in RNAcentral is "bacterial SSU rRNA". It matches the Rfam family "Bacterial small subunit ribosomal RNA", at positions 20 to 849 of the family's 1533-position model. The record is from RNAcentral.
UGGCUCAGAUUGAACGCUGGCGGCAUGCCUUACACAUGCAAGUCGAACGGCAGCACGGGAGCUUGCUCCUGGUGGCGAGUGGCGAACGGGUGAGUAAUAUAUCGGAACGUACCCUAGAGUGGGGGAUAACGCAGCGAAAGUUGCGCUAAUACCGCAUACGAUCUACGGAUGAAAGUGGGGGAUCGCAAGACCUCAUGCUCAUGGAGCGGCCGAUAUCUGAUUAGCUAGUUGGUAGGGUAAAAGCCUACCAAGGCUUCGAUCAGUAGCUGGUCUGAGAGGACGACCAGCCACACUGGAACUGAGACACGGUCCAGACUCCUACGGGAGGCAGCAGUGGGGAAUUUUGGACAAUGGGCGCAAGCCUGAUCCAGCAAUGCCGCGUGAGUGAAGAAGGCCUUCGGGUUGUAAAGCUCUUUUGUCAGGGAAGAAACGGUGGACUCUAAUACAGAUCACUAAUGACGGUACCUGAAGAAUAAGCACCGGCUAACUACGUGCCAGCAGCCGCGGUAAUACGUAGGGUGCAAGCGUUAAUCGGAAUUACUGGGCGUAAAGCGUGCGCAGGCGGUUUGGUAAGACAGAUGUGAAAUCCCCGGGCUCAACCUGGGAAUUGCAUUUGUGACUGCCCGACUAGAGUGUGUCAGAGGGGGGUAGAAUUCCACGUGUAGCAGUGAAAUGCGUAGAGAUGUGGAGGAAUACCGAUGGCGAAGGCAGCCCCCUGGGAUAACACUGACGCUCAUGCACGAAAGCGUGGGGAGCAAACAGGAUUAGAUACCCUGGUAGUCCACGCCCUAAACGAUGUCUACUAGUUGUUGGGUCUUAAUUGACUUAGUAACGC